CGUAGGUGGCAAGCGUUGUACCGGAUUUAUUGGGUUUAAAGGGUGCGUAGGCGGUCUUAUAAGUCAGUGCUGAAAUAUCCCGGCUUAACCGGGAGGGUGGCAUUGAUACUGUAGGACUUGAGUAAAGUUGAGGUUGCGGAAUUGACGGUGUAGCGGUGAAAUGCUUAGAUAUCGUCAAGAACACCGAUAGUGUAGACAGCUAACUAAGCUUUAACUGACGCUGAGGCACGAAAGUGUGGGGAUCAAACAGGAUUAGAUACCCUGGUAGUCCACACUGUAAACGUUGAAGACUCGCUGUUGGCGAUACACAGUCAGCGGCUGAGAGAAACCGUUAAGUCUUCCACCUGGGGAGUACGCCGGCAACGGUG
Molecule: ribosomal RNA, 368 nt
Filed under: uncultured organism
Description: bacterial SSU rRNA
Rfam family: Bacterial small subunit ribosomal RNA
Source: RNAcentral